GCUGACGAGUGGCGGACGGGUGAGUAAUGUCUGGGAAACUGCCUGAUGGAGGGGGAUAACUACUGGAAACGGUAGCUAAUACCGCAUAAUGUCGCAAGACCAAAGAGGGGGACCUUCGGGCCUCUUGCCAUCGGAUGUGCCCAGAUGGGAUUAGCUUGUUGGUGGGGUAACGGCUCACCAAGGCGACGAUCCCUAGCUGGUCUGAGAGGAUGACCAGCCACACUGGAACUGAGACACGGUCCAGACUCCUACGGGAGGCAGCAGUGGGGAAUAUUGCACAAUGGGCGCAAGCCUGAUGCAGCCAUGCCGCGUGUAUGAAGAAGGCCUUCGGGUUGUAAAGUACUUUCAGCGGGGAGGAAGGGAGUAAAGUUAAUACCUUUGCUCAUUGACGUUACCCGCAGAAGAAGCACCGGCUAACUCCGUGCCAGCAGCCGCGGUAAUACGGAGGGUGCAAGCGUUAAUCGGAAUUACUGGGCGUAAAGCGCACGCAGGCGGUUUGUUAAGUCAGAUGUGAAAUCCCCGGGCUCAACCUGGGAACUGCAUCUGAUACUGGCAAGCUUGAGUCUCGUAGAGGGGGGUAGAAUUCCAGGUGUAGCGGUGAAAUGCGUAGAGAUCUGGAGGAAUACCGGUGGCGAAGGCGGCCCCCUGGACGAAGACUGACGCUCAGGUGCGAAAGCGUGGGGAGCAAACAGGAUUAGAUACCCUGGUAGUCCACGCCGUAAACGAUGUCGACUUGGAGGUUGUGCCCUUGAGGCGUGGCUUCCGGAGCUAACGCGUUAAGUCGACCGCCUGGGGAGUACGGCCGCAAGGUUAAAACUCAAAUGAAUUGACGGGGGCCCGCACAAGCGGUGGAGCAUGUGGUUUAAUUCGAUGCAACGCGAAGAACCUUACCUGGUCUUGACAUCCACAGAACUUUCCAGAGAUGGAUUGGUGCCUUCGGGAACUGUGAGACAGGUGCUGCAUGGCUGUCGUCAGCUCGUGUUGUGAAAUGUUGGGUUAAGUCCCGCAACGAGCGCAACCCUUAUCCUUUGUUGCCAGCGGUCCGGCCGGGAACUCAAAGGAGACUGCCAGUGAUAAACUGGAGGAAGGUGGGGAUGACGUCAAGUCAUCAUGGCCCUUACGACCAGGGCUACACACGUGCUACAAUGGCGCAUACAAAGAGAAGCGACCUCGCGAGAGCAAGCGGACCUCAUAAAGUGCGUCGUAGUCCGGAUUGGAGUCUGCAACUCGACUCCAUGAAGUCGGAAUCGCUAGUAAUCGUGGAUCAGAAUGCCACGGUGAAUACGUUCCCGGGCCUUGUACACACCGCCCGUCACACCAUGGGAGUGGGUUGCAAAAGAAGUAGGUAGCUUAACCUUCGGGAGGGCGCUUACCACUUUGUGAUUCAUGACUGGGGUGAAGUCGUAACAAGGUAACCGUAGGGGAACCUGCGGUUGGAUCACCUCCUUACCUUAAAGAAGC
RNAcentral lists this ribosomal RNA (1461 nucleotides) under Shigella sonnei. Its description in RNAcentral is "bacterial SSU rRNA". It matches the Rfam family "Bacterial small subunit ribosomal RNA". The record is from RNAcentral. Lineage: Bacteria; Pseudomonadati; Pseudomonadota; Gammaproteobacteria; Enterobacterales; Enterobacteriaceae.